GCUACUGCCAUCAGAGUUCGAUUAAGCCAUGUUAGUCGAGGGUGCUUCUUCUUCGGAAGAUGUAACCCGGCGGACGGCUCAGUAACACGUGGAUAACUUGCCCUUGGGUCCGGGAUAACCCCUGAGAAAUUGGGGACAAUACCGGAUAGGGCAUCGAUAGCUGGAAUGCGCGAUGUCCAAAAGCUGAGGCGCCCAAGGAUAGGUCUGCGGCCGAUUAGGUUGUUGUUGAUGUAAUGGAUCAACAAGCCUGCAAUCGGUACGGGUUGUGAGAGCAAGAGCCCGGAGAUGGGUUCUGAGAAAAGAACCCAGGUCCUACGGGACGCAUCAGGCGCGAAAACUUUACAAUGUGCGAAAGCACGAUAAGGGAACUCUGAGUGCCUCCUAUGGAGGCUGUUCAGGUGUCUAAAAAGCACUUGAAGUAAGGGCUGGGUAAGACCGGUGCCAGCCGCCGCGGUAACACCGGCAGCCCAAGUGGUAGCCACGAUUAUUGGGUCUAAAGCGUCCGUAGCCGGCCAGGUAAGUUCUUUGGGAAAUUUAACCGCUCAACGGUUAAGCUUUCAGGGAAUACUGCUUGGCUUGGGACCGGGAGAGGUCAGAGGUACUUCAAGGGUAGGGGUGAAAUCCGUUAAUCCUUGAGGGACCACCAGUAGCGAAGGCGUCUGACCAGACCGGGUCCGACGGUGAGGGACGAAGGCUAGGGUCGCGAACCGGAUUAGAUACCCGGGUAGUCCUAGCUGUAAACGAUGCGGGCCAGGUGUUGGCAUUACUGCGAGUGAUGUCAGUGCCGAAGGGAAGCC
Molecule: ribosomal RNA, 797 nt
Filed under: uncultured archaeon
Lineage: Archaea
Description: bacterial SSU rRNA
Rfam family: Archaeal small subunit ribosomal RNA
Source: RNAcentral